This 305-nucleotide ribosomal RNA is filed under the name uncultured bacterium. RNAcentral describes it as "bacterial SSU rRNA". It matches the Rfam family "Bacterial small subunit ribosomal RNA", at positions 333 to 655 of the family's 1533-position model. The record is from RNAcentral.
UGAUUCCUACGGGAGGCAGCAGUCGGGAAUAUUGCGCAAUGGAGGAAACUCUGACGCAGUGACGCCGCGUAUAGGAAGAAGGUCUUCGGAUUGUAAACUAUUGUCAUUAGGGAAGAGAAAGGACAGUACCUAAAGAGGAAGCUCCGGCUAACUACGUGCCAGCAGCCGCGGUAAUACGUAGGGAGCAAGCGUUAUCCGGAUUUAUUGGGUUUAAAGGGUGCGCAGGCGGCGAGUUAAGUCAGCGGUAAAAUUUCGGGGCUCAACCCCGACGAGCCGUUGAAACUGGCUUGCUAGAGUGGGCGAGA